This 301-nucleotide ribosomal RNA is filed under the name uncultured bacterium. Its description in RNAcentral is "partial 16S ribosomal RNA". It matches the Rfam family "Bacterial small subunit ribosomal RNA", at positions 509 to 807 of the family's 1533-position model. The record is from RNAcentral.
CAGCCGCCGCGGUAAUGCAGAGGGUGCGAGCGUUAAUCGGAUUUACUGGGCGUAAAGCGUGCGUAGGCGGCUUUUUAAGUCGGAUGUGAAAUCCCUGAGCUUAACUUAGGAAUUGCAUUCGAUACUGGGAAGCUAGAGUAUGGGAGAGGAUGGUAGAAUUCCAGGUGUAGCGGUGAAAUGCGUAGAGAUCUGGAGGAAUACCGAUGGCGAAGGCAGCCAUCUGGCCUAAUACUGACGCUGAGGUACGAAAGCAUGGGGAGCAAACAGGAUUAGAUACCCCCGUAGUCCCUGUCUCUUAUAC